Molecule: ribosomal RNA, 468 nt
Filed under: uncultured bacterium
Lineage: Bacteria
Description: partial 16S ribosomal RNA
Rfam family: Bacterial small subunit ribosomal RNA
Source: RNAcentral
GACGAACGCUGGCGGCGUGCUUAACACAUGCAAGUCGAACGGAAAGGCCCUGCUUUUGUGGGGUGCUCGAGUGGCGAACGGGUGAGUAACACGUGAGUAACCUGCCCUUGACUUUGGGAUAACUUCAGGAAACUGGGGCUAAUACCGGAUAGGAGCUCCUGCUGCAUGGUGGGGGUUGGAAAGUUUCGGCGGUUGGGGAUGGACUCGCGGCUUAUCAGCUUGUUGGUGGGGUAGUGGCUUACCAAGGCUUUGACGGAUAGCCGGCCUGAGAGGGUGACCGGCCACAUUGGGACUGAGAUACGGCCCAGACUCCUACGGGAGGCAGCAGUGGGGAAUAUUGCACAAUGGGCGGAAGCCUGAUGCAGCAACGCCGCGUGCGGGAUGACGGCCUUCGGGUUGUAAAACGCUUUCGCCUGUGACGAAGCGUGAGUGACGGUAAUGGGUAAAGAAGCACCGGCUAACUACGUG